Molecule: transfer RNA, 73 nt
Filed under: Erinaceus europaeus (western European hedgehog)
Lineage: Eukaryota; Metazoa; Chordata; Mammalia; Eulipotyphla; Erinaceidae
Rfam family: tRNA
About the family: Transfer RNA (tRNA) molecules are approximately 80 nucleotides in length. Their secondary structure includes four short double-helical elements and three loops (D, anti-codon, and T loops).
Source: Rfam by way of RNAcentral
UGAGGAAUGGCUUAACUGGUAGAGUGCUGGACUUGCCUGCCUGAGGUUCUUGGUUCAAUCCCCAGUACUUCAU